AUACGUAGGGGGCGAGCGUUGUCCGGAAUGAUUGGGCGUAAAGGGCGCGUAGGCGGCGCGGUAAGUCUGGAGUGAAAGUCCUGCUUUCAAGGUGGGAAUUGCUUUGGAUACUGCCGCGCUUGAGUGCAGGAGAGGUUAUCGGAAUUCCCGGUGUAGCGGUGAAAUGCGUAGAGAUCGGGAGGAACACCAGUGGCGAAGGCGGGUAACUGGACUGCAACUGACGCUGAGGCGCGAAAGUGUAGGGAGCAAACAGGAUUAGAUACCCUGGUAGUCCACACUGUAAACGAUGAAUGCUAGGUGUAAGAGGUAUCGACCCCUUUUGUGCCGGAGUCAACACAAUAAGCAUUCCGCCUGGGGAGUACGGCCGCAAGGUUGAAACUCAAAGGAAUUGACGGGG
RNAcentral lists this ribosomal RNA (397 nucleotides) under uncultured bacterium. RNAcentral's name for it is "partial 16S ribosomal RNA". It matches the Rfam family "Bacterial small subunit ribosomal RNA", at positions 523 to 918 of the family's 1533-position model. The record is from RNAcentral.